This is an RNA transcript of Xenopus laevis (African clawed frog), 1336 nucleotides long. It is a transcript of the gene named sterile alpha motif domain-containing protein 12, with no coding region annotated. Lineage: Eukaryota; Metazoa; Chordata; Amphibia; Anura; Pipidae. The transcript has 6 exons. The record is from RefSeq and is a predicted model, not a curated record.
AGGGUGAGGGAAAGGGUGCGGUGAUGUGCCGGAUAAGCCUGAGGGAAGGAGAGGAAAAGCAGUGAAUUGCUGCACUCCUGCUGGGAACUCAGAACUGGGAUCAAUAAUUACCUGGUCAGAGAUCAGUUUGGGGGUUCCUGGGGAAGAAGACAGAAGGUAAAGAUACUGUGGUGCCCCUAGUAUAGGGCAAAGGAGGAAAAGACCUGUCAGACCUCAAUUUAAGGCAGAGAAAGACAAGAACAAGGUGGGACCUCUAGUUGAAGGCAGAGAAACAGAGAAGGACAAGAUUAAGGUGGAACCUCCAGUCAAAAUAGAGAGCAAGACAAGGACACUGUGGAACUCCUGUCAAAGGCAGCAAAGAACAACGUGGGACCCCUGAAGAACGGAGUGAAGAGCAGGAAAAUCCUGCAAAGAGCAGGAGUUGAUGCAUUGCACUCAGUGUGACAGAGACUGAAUCUCAUACAGAGGAACAUCUGAUGGAACCAAAGUGACCUCUUGCUGCUCCACCAAUGGCCGAGGCUUCCCAGGGACUGUGCCCAAUCCCUGGUACAACUGAGCUCACUCUCUUGUGUUUGGCUUCUGGUGCCUCUCAGACUGGAGGAGAUGAGGACGUUUGGGAGAAGCCGGUGAGUGAGUGGACGGUACAAGACGUCUGUUUCUGGUUUCAGUACGGACCCUUACAGGACGGAGCUGGCCUGGUGCAGGCGGCAUAUGCUCACAGUAUCUCAGGUCGGGCUCUGCUAAGACUGACAGAUGAUUUGCUGAAGCGGAUGGGAAUUCACCAGGAGAAUCUCAGGAGACUAAUUCUUCUUGAAGUUCUAGAAUUGCGGCUACAGCAAGAGCUGCACCAACUACUUCACAUGACUGAGGGAUUUGGUGAACAAUGGUAAGAACAUUUUAUUUGGGUUUGGUGAGGAACAUUGUCCCAAUAAGUGUGUUUGGGAAGGCAUGCCAGCAACCAUCAGGCCAACUGAAAUAGGUGGAAGAGUCGAAUGCCUGACCACCAAAUCCAGAAAAGGCUACUAUAAAAUGGCCAAUAGCAUAGAGAAAUGGAUUCCUAUUAUUUCCUGUGUAAUGACUGCCCCACACUCCCUGCAGUGUUUAGCCACAUGGACUAAGUGAAUGGACUACUGCAUGAUGAAACAGACAGACAGAUAGACAGACAAAGCUGCAGAAAGUGUUUGCUCUGUGGAACAUUCAUACAGAGAAAUCUGUGCAAGGGAAGGGACAUUGGCACUGUUUGGUGGCAUCACGGGGGGACUUGGGGAACAAAGGACAAUUUCUGUACAGCGCUGCACAAUAUGUUAGUGAUAUAAAUAAAAUAAUAGUAAUAAAG